CAUGUGUGGAUUUUAAUUUACAGUUUUUGUUGAUCAUGUUUUGGACUUGAUUCUCUGCAGCCAAAGACUGUCCCUGGGAGAGUUUUUAUCCAGCCAGAAGGUAAGCAGAACAAUGGAGGCAAAGUUGGAGCUGAUAAAAGGACUUGUUCUGAUUAUCUGAUUGGGUUGCCUU
Molecule: non-coding RNA, 172 nt
Organism: Pseudonaja textilis
Lineage: Eukaryota; Metazoa; Chordata; Lepidosauria; Squamata; Elapidae
Source: RefSeq, a predicted model, not a curated record